Molecule: ribosomal RNA, 497 nt
Filed under: uncultured bacterium
Lineage: Bacteria
Description: partial 16S ribosomal RNA
Rfam family: Bacterial small subunit ribosomal RNA
Source: RNAcentral
GAUGAACGCUGGCGGCGUGCCUAAUACAUGCAAGUCGAGCGAACAGAUGAGUAUCUUGCUCCUCUGACGUUAGCGGCGGACGGGUGAGUAACACGUGGAGAACCUACCUAUAAGACUGGGAUAACUUCGGGAAACCGGAGCUAAUACCGGAUAAUAUAUUGAACCGCAUGGUUCAAUAGUGACAGACGGUUUUGCUGUCAAUGAUAGAUGUUACCGCGCCGCGUUAGAUAGGUGGUAAGGGAACGACUUACCAAGGCAACGAUGCGUAGCCGACCAGAGAGAGGGAUCGGACACGCUGGGACUGGAACACGGUCCAGACUCCGACGGGGAGCAGCAGUAGGGAAUCAUCGGAAGUGGGCGAAAGCCUGACGGCGCAACGCGGCGUGGGUGAUGAAGGCCUUCGGAUCGGGAAACUGUGUUAUUAGGGAAGAACAAAUGUGUAAGUAACUGUGGAAGUAUUGACGGUACCUGAUCAGAAAGCCACGGCUAACUACGUG